GAGGUUCACCACACCGAAGUGUAGGACUGCAACAUUCCAGAGAUCGUUUGUAUCCAGGUGUGCGAGAGUAUGGAAUGUUCUACCAAAAGAGUUGACAACAAAGAACAUAAGCUUAGGUCGUUUCAAAAGCGAUCUCUAUGAAUAUUACAAAUCGGCUCUGAACAUUUACGACGCAGAAAAUCCUAGAACAUAGAAGUCUGUAUGUUUGUCUUGUAACAAGUCUCGUAAUUUGUCUUGUUCAAAUUCGUGUUGUUAUUAAUUCUAAUGUGUGUCCCUGUGUUGGUCUUGUUAAGCUUCAUUGUCAGCUAAUUUCCACUCAGGAAAAUUUUCCGCAGGAGCGAACGCCGUUGGAACUAACGACUUUAGCACUAUGUAACUUUCCUUCCGUUAUUAUCCUGCGGAGGGUUUUCCUGGGUGCAAACUGGCCUUUUUAUAUUACUAAAGAUCUAAUGUAGAAUGUGUCAUGUUCGUUCUGUAAGGGCUGCUGUAAUUGGCGUAAAGCUGUAGCAGAUACCCUGCCAUUGAUUGAUUGAUUGAUAGUUUGUAUAUUCUCAGUUGUGUUUGUAUUUGUGCAGAUAUGAUUGUGUGAAAUUGGCAAAGCAUAAUAAAUAUAUAGGGGCAUCGAAUCAACCUCGAGAAACCGCCAGGCUAGAUCGUAGUAUUGGCAGAAGGGGCACGCAAUACCUGGCAACAUCUGACGGCAUAGUAUUUGGAAGAACUAUUGGAAGGCUCGUAGGACACGACAUCAGAACCGGUAAUUAUAAUUUUUUGCUUGGCAGGUCUGACAGCAAUGUCAUUGCAGGCCAUAGAAGGUGUUCCUGUCAGACUAUUAACAUCGAGAUCUUCCACAACAAGAACUUCCAGGGUGAAGGGCUUGCUUCACUGACGAGUGACGAUAAAAAAGGGAGUACGCUCAUCAUGCAGCUUGUAAUGCUAGCUGUGAACUCUUAGAUAACUUGUUCUUGGCAUUUGUUAGCGAGAGAGGCCUUUAUCAUAGCAACCACCCGUCUAUCAUAGGACUUCCCUACAUUAUCCCUAAGCAACACCCGUUCAAUGGCUAAUAAACUGGAUGAGAUCAGUGUAACUAUUAGUAAUAAUAAAUGUGAUAUCGCAAUCAUCACAGAAUCAUGGCUUUCAUCAAACAUUAUGAAUGAUCUCAUUAAGAUCCCC
Molecule: non-coding RNA, 1170 nt
Organism: Paramuricea clavata
Lineage: Eukaryota; Metazoa; Cnidaria; Anthozoa; Malacalcyonacea; Plexauridae
Source: the annotation of a GenBank genome assembly